UUGACGCUGAGGUUGGUACUUGUACCACUGGAUGAGCAGCGAACGGGUGAGUAACGCGUGGGGAAUCUGCCUUUGAGCGGGGGACAACAUUUGGAAACGAAUGCUAAUACCGCAUAAAAACUUUAAACACAAGUUUUAAGUUUGAAAGAUGCAAUUGCAUCACUCAAAGAUGAUCCCGCGUUGUAUUAGCUAGUUGGUGAGGUAAAGGCUCACCAAGGCGAUGAUACAUAGCCGACCUGAGAGGGUGAUCGGCCACAUUGGGACUGAGACACGGCCCAAACUCCUACGGGAGGCAGCAGUAGGGAAUCUUCGGCAAUGGACGAAAGUCUGACCGAGCAACGCCGCGUGAGUGAAGAAGGUUUUCGGAUCGUAAAACUCUGUUGGUAGAGAANAACGUUGGUGAGAGUGGAAAGCUCAUCAAGUGACGGUAACUACCCAGAAAGGGACGGCUAACUACGUGCCAGCAGCCGCGGUAAUACGUAGGUCCCGAGCGUUGUCCGGAUUUAUUGGGCGUAAAGCGAGCCCAGGUGGUUNAUUAAGUCUGGNGUAAAGGCAGUGGCUCANCCNUUGUAUGCUU
RNAcentral lists this ribosomal RNA (577 nucleotides) under Lactococcus lactis subsp. lactis. RNAcentral's name for it is "bacterial SSU rRNA". It matches the Rfam family "Bacterial small subunit ribosomal RNA", at positions 62 to 626 of the family's 1533-position model. The record is from RNAcentral. Lineage: Bacteria; Bacillati; Bacillota; Bacilli; Lactobacillales; Streptococcaceae.